This 253-nucleotide ribosomal RNA is filed under the name uncultured bacterium. RNAcentral describes it as "partial 16S ribosomal RNA". It matches the Rfam family "Bacterial small subunit ribosomal RNA", at positions 524 to 776 of the family's 1533-position model. The record is from RNAcentral.
UACGUAGGGUGCGAGCGUUGUCCGGAUUUACUGGGCGUAAAGAGCUUGUAGGUGGUUUGUCGCGUUGUUCGUGAAAUCUCACGGCUUAACUGUGAGCGUGCGGGCGAUACGGGCAGACUAGAGUACUGCAGGGGAGACUGGAAUUCCUGGUGUAGCGGUGGAAUGCGCAGAUAUCAGGAAGAACACCCGUGGCGAAGGCGGCUCUCUGGGACGGUACUGACGCUGAGACGCGAAAGCGUGGGGAGCGAACAGG